RNAcentral lists this ribosomal RNA (253 nucleotides) under uncultured bacterium. Its description in RNAcentral is "partial 16S ribosomal RNA". It matches the Rfam family "Bacterial small subunit ribosomal RNA", at positions 524 to 776 of the family's 1533-position model. The record is from RNAcentral.
UACGGAGGGGGCUAGCGUUGUUCGGAAUUACUGGGCGUAAAGCGCACGUAGGCGGCUUUGUAAGUUAGAGGUGAAAGCCCAGGGCUCAACCCUGGAAUUGCCUUUAAGACUACAUCGCUUGAACAUCGGAGAGGUAAGUGGAAUUCCGAGUGUAGAGGUGAAAUUCGUAGAUAUUCGGAAGAACACCAGUGGCGAAGGCGACUUACUGGACGAUUGUUGACGCUGAGGUGCGAAAGCGUGGGGAGCAAACAGG